AGUGAACGCUGGCGGUAGGCCUAACACAUGCAAGUCGAACGGCAGCACAGUAAGAUCUUGCUCUUACGGGUGGCGAGUGGCGGACGGGUGAGGAAUACAUCGGCAUCUACUUUUUCGGGGGGGAUAACGUAGGGAAACUUACGCUAAUACCGCAUACGUCCUACGGGUGAAAGCAGUGGAUCUUCGGACCUUUCGUGAUUCAAUGAGCUGAUGCCGGAUUAGCUAGUUGGCGGGGUAAGGGCCCACCAAGGCGACGAUCCGUAGCUGACCUGAGAGGAUGAUCAGCCACACUGGAACUGAGACACGGUCCAGACUCCUACGGGAGGCAGCAGUGGGGAAUCUUGGACAAUGGGCGAAAGCCUGAUGCAGCCAUACCGCGUGAGUGAAGAAGGCCUUCGGGUUGUAAAGCCCUGUUGUUGGGGAAGAACAGCAGCGGGUUAAAACCCCGCUGUUCUGACGGUACCCAAAGAAUAAGCACCGGCUAACUUCGUG
RNAcentral lists this ribosomal RNA (492 nucleotides) under uncultured bacterium. RNAcentral describes it as "partial 16S ribosomal RNA". It matches the Rfam family "Bacterial small subunit ribosomal RNA", at positions 29 to 507 of the family's 1533-position model. The record is from RNAcentral.